RNAcentral lists this ribosomal RNA (738 nucleotides) under Enterobacter hormaechei. RNAcentral describes it as "partial 23S ribosomal RNA". It matches the Rfam family "Bacterial large subunit ribosomal RNA", at positions 2211 to 2925 of the family's 2925-position model. RNAcentral also lists the same sequence under 1 other name. Lineage: Bacteria; Pseudomonadati; Pseudomonadota; Gammaproteobacteria; Enterobacterales; Enterobacteriaceae. The record is from RNAcentral.
UGGCUGGUGUUCUAACGUAGACCCGUGAUCCGGGUUGCGGACAGUGUCUGGUGGGUAGUUUGACUGGGGCGGUCUCCUCCCAAAGAGUAACGGAGGAGCACGAAGGUUGGCUAAUCCUGGUCGGACAUCAGGAGGUUAGUGCAAUGGCAUAAGCCAGCUUGACUGCGAGCGUGACGGCGCGAGCAGGUGCGAAAGCAGGUCAUAGUGAUCCGGUGGUUCUGAAUGGAAGGGCCAUCGCUCAACGGAUAAAAGGUACUCCGGGGAUAACAGGCUGAUACCGCCCAAGAGUUCAUAUCGACGGCGGUGUUUGGCACCUCGAUGUCGGCUCAUCACAUCCUGGGGCUGAAGUAGGUCCCAAGGGUAUGGCUGUUCGCCAUUUAAAGUGGUACGCGAGCUGGGUUUAGAACGUCGUGAGACAGUUCGGUCCCUAUCUGCCGUGGGCGCUGGAGAAUUGAGGGGGGCUGCUCCUAGUACGAGAGGACCGGAGUGGACGCAUCACUGGUGUUCGGGUUGUCAUGCCAAUGGCACUGCCCGGUAGCUAAAUGCGGAAGAGAUAAGUGCUGAAAGCAUCUAAGCACGAAACUUGCCCCGAGAUGAGUUCUCCCUGAGACUUUAAGUCUCCUGAAGGAACGUUGAAGACGACGACGUUGAUAGGUCGGGUGUGUAAGCGCAGCGAUGCGUUGAGCUAACCGAUACUAAUGAACCGUGAGGCUUAACCUUACAACGCCGAAGGUGUUU